GAGGAUCCUCGCCCCGCCGAGGACCCCCGCCCCGCCGUGUCCCGACGAGGCUCCGCCACGCCUGCUGCGGCCCCGUCCAGCAGCCGGCAGGGAAGGAACGCGGGGGACCUGCCCAGCCCCUCCGCUGCUGCCCGCCCUGGCCGUGCCGGCAGCGCUCCCUCCGCUCCCUUGCCCAGCCGCGGGGAGCCAGGGGAGCGCCAGCAGGACGCUGGGGAGGCUGGGCCGAGCCCUUCGACAUCCGCCCAGGGCACGGAACGCGCCCGCGGGGGGCCACGGCGACCCCCGAAGAGGAGGGCUGGCAGCCCCCACGCCUCUGCUCCAGCCAAGAGGAAGCCACCCAACGGGCAGCACUAGGGCUCCUCCGGGGGACUUCUGGCACAGCUCACGGACCACCGUUUCCCGGAGCACGCAGCCUUCCUCCAGCCUGCUCAGGUGUGGCUGCAGCAGCAGCUGAGGUGGACCUUCAAAAGUUGGACUUUCCAGGCAGCCCUGGUGGAGGGCUGAUGUGACUGUUAUUAAAGGAUGAGUUAUGUAAA
Pogoniulus pusillus (Red-fronted tinkerbird) is the source of this 536-nucleotide long non-coding RNA. RefSeq lists it as uncharacterized. The transcript has 2 exons. NCBI's taxonomy places the organism in Eukaryota, Metazoa, Chordata, Aves, Piciformes, Lybiidae. The record is from RefSeq and is a predicted model, not a curated record.